Molecule: transfer RNA, 69 nt
Filed under: Ictidomys tridecemlineatus (thirteen-lined ground squirrel)
Lineage: Eukaryota; Metazoa; Chordata; Mammalia; Rodentia; Sciuridae
Description: Spermophilus tridecemlineatus (thirteen-lined ground squirrel) tRNA
Rfam family: tRNA
About the family: Transfer RNA (tRNA) molecules are approximately 80 nucleotides in length. Their secondary structure includes four short double-helical elements and three loops (D, anti-codon, and T loops).
Source: Rfam by way of RNAcentral
GGGGCUGGGGCUCAGGGGUAGAGCGCUCGCCUUGUACGUGCGAGACCCUGGGUUCGACCCUCAGCACCA